Molecule: ribosomal RNA, 442 nt
Filed under: uncultured Eubacteriales bacterium
Lineage: Bacteria; Bacillati; Bacillota; Clostridia; Eubacteriales
Description: bacterial SSU rRNA
Rfam family: Bacterial small subunit ribosomal RNA
Source: RNAcentral
CCUACGGGGGGCUGCAGUGGGGAAUAUUGCACAAUGGGGGAAACCCUGAUGCAGCGACGCCGCGUGAAGGACGAAGGUUUUCGGAUCGUAAACUUCUAUCAGCAGGGAGGAAGAAAUGACAGUACCUGAAUAAGCAGCCCCGGCUAACUACGUGCCAGCAGCCGCGGUAAUACGUAGGGGGCAAGCGUUAUCCGGAAUCACUGGGUGUAAAGGGUGCGUAGGCGGUAAUGCAAGUCAGAUGUGAAACCCCUUGGCUCAACCAAGGGCUUGCAUUUGAAACUGUGUUACUAGAGUGCAGGAGAGGAAAGCGGAAUUCCUAGUGUAGCGGUGAAAUGCGUAGAUAUUAGGAAGAACACCAGUGGCGAAGGCGGCUUUCUGGACUGUAACAGACGCUGAGGCACGAAAGCGUGGGUAGCGAACAGGCUUAGAUACCCCGGUAGUC